RNAcentral lists this transfer RNA (71 nucleotides) under Mus musculus (house mouse). It matches the Rfam family "tRNA". From Rfam's summary of the family: Transfer RNA (tRNA) molecules are approximately 80 nucleotides in length. The record is from Rfam by way of RNAcentral. Lineage: Eukaryota; Metazoa; Chordata; Mammalia; Rodentia; Muridae. RNAcentral also lists the same sequence under 1 other name.
GGAGGGAUGGCUCAGUGGUUAAGAGCACUGGGGGCUCUUCCACAGGACCUGGGUUCAAUUCCCAGUUCCCA